This 253-nucleotide ribosomal RNA is filed under the name uncultured bacterium. RNAcentral describes it as "partial 16S ribosomal RNA". It matches the Rfam family "Bacterial small subunit ribosomal RNA", at positions 524 to 776 of the family's 1533-position model. The record is from RNAcentral.
UACGAAGGGGGCUAGCGUUGUUCGGAAUUACUGGGCGUAAAGCGUGCGCAGGCGGCUUCUCAAGUCAGGGGUGAAAGCCCAGAGCUCAACUCUGGAAUUGCCUUUGAGACUGAGUGGCUUGAGUACGAGAGAGGUGAGUGGAAUUCCCAGUGUAGAGGUGAAAUUCGUAGAUAUUGGGAAGAACACCAGUGGCGAAGGCGGCUCACUGGCUCGAAACUGACGCUCAUGCACGACAGCGUGGGGAUCAAACAGG